GGCCUCGUACCUCAAGUUGUUAGAGCGUUGGCUGUACUAAAGCCUUCCUCUUGCUGGCGUGGGUUCAAAUCCCACCGAGGCCA
Molecule: transfer RNA, 83 nt
Filed under: Schistocephalus solidus
Lineage: Eukaryota; Metazoa; Platyhelminthes; Cestoda; Diphyllobothriidea; Diphyllobothriidae
Rfam family: tRNA
About the family: Transfer RNA (tRNA) molecules are approximately 80 nucleotides in length. Their secondary structure includes four short double-helical elements and three loops (D, anti-codon, and T loops).
Source: Rfam by way of RNAcentral